GCUUUAUACAUGCAAGUCAAGGAGAACCUAUUCUUCGGAAUAGUAGUAAACUGGCGAACGGGUGAGUAACACGUAGGUAACCUGCCCUAGAGAUUGGGACAACUUCGGGAAACCGGAGCUAAUACCGAAUGAUGCAGCGGACCCCUUGGGGUACAGUUGUUAAAGCGGGCUUCGGCUCGCGCUUUAGGAUGGGCCUGCGUCCGAUUAGCUUGUUGGUGGGGUAAUAGCCUACCAAGGCAAUGAUCGGUAGCUGGUCUGAGAGGAUGAUCAGCCACACUGGGAUUGAGAUACGGCCCAGACCUCUACGGGGGGCAGCAGUAGGGAAUUUUGCGCAAUGGGCGAAAGCCUGACGCAGCAACGCCGCGUGAUCGAUGAAGCUUCUAGGAGCGUAAAGAUCUGUCGUUAGGGAAGAAAAAUUCGGAGGUAAAUAAUUUUCGUUUUUGACGGUACCUUACAAGAAAGCACCGGCUAACUUCGUGCCAGCAGCCGCGGUAAUACGAGGGGUGCUAGCGUUGUCCGGAAUCAUUGGGCGUAAAGGGUCCGUANGCGGUUUAACAAGUCAAUUGUUAAAGACAUCGGCUUUACCGAUGGAAUGCAGUUGAAACUGUUAG
RNAcentral lists this ribosomal RNA (611 nucleotides) under uncultured bacterium. RNAcentral's name for it is "bacterial SSU rRNA". It matches the Rfam family "Bacterial small subunit ribosomal RNA", at positions 46 to 639 of the family's 1533-position model. The record is from RNAcentral.